GGGGGGGUAUGGCGGAAUUGGUAGACGCUACGGACUUAAAAUCCGUUGGCUUUAUUGACCGUGAGGGUUCAAGUCCCUCUACCCCCA
Molecule: transfer RNA, 87 nt
Filed under: Rhacocarpus purpurascens
Lineage: Eukaryota; Viridiplantae; Streptophyta; Bryopsida; Hedwigiales; Rhacocarpaceae
Also listed under: 1 other name
Description: transfer RNA Leu
Rfam family: tRNA
About the family: Transfer RNA (tRNA) molecules are approximately 80 nucleotides in length. Their secondary structure includes four short double-helical elements and three loops (D, anti-codon, and T loops). Further hydrogen bonds mediate the characteristic L-shaped molecular structure. tRNAs have two regions of fundamental functional importance: the anti-codon, which is responsible for specific mRNA codon recognition, and the 3' end, to which the tRNAs corresponding amino acid is attached (by aminoacyl-tRNA synthetases). tRNAs cope with the degeneracy of the genetic code in two manners: having more than one tRNA (with a specific anti-codon) for a particular amino acid; and 'wobble' base-pairing, i.e. permitting non-standard base-pairing at the 3rd anti-codon position.
Source: RNAcentral